This 324-nucleotide ribosomal RNA is filed under the name uncultured bacterium. RNAcentral describes it as "bacterial SSU rRNA". It matches the Rfam family "Bacterial small subunit ribosomal RNA", at positions 28 to 334 of the family's 1533-position model. The record is from RNAcentral.
GAUGAACGCUGGCGGCGUGCUUAACACAUGCAAGUCGAGCGAAGCGCUCACGCGGAAUUUUUCGGAAGGAAGCGGGAGCGACUUAGCGGCGGACGGGUGAGUAACGCGUGGGUAACCUGCCCCAUACCGGGGGAUAACGGUUAGAAAUGACCGCUAAUACCGCUUAAGCGCACGAGGCCGCAUGGCCGCGCGCGAAAAACUCCGGUGGUAUGGGAUGGGCCCGCGUCUGAUUAGCUAGUUGGCGGGGUAAAGGCCCACCAAGGCGACGAUCAGUAGCCGACCUGAGAGGGUGGCCGGCCACAUUGGGACUGAGACACGGCCCAA